GUUGUAACGGCAAGAAAUAUACAUGACAAGUCGAACGCACAGCGAAAGGUGCUUGCACCUUUCAAGUGAGUGGCGAACGGGUGAGUAACACGUGGACAACCUGCCUCAAGGCUGGGGAUAACAUUUGGAAACAGAUGCUAAUACCGAAUAAAACUCAGUGUCGCAUGACACAAAGUUAAAAGGCGCUUUGGCGUCACCUAGAGAUGGAUCCGCGGUGCAUUAGUUAGUUGGUGGGGUAAAGGCCUACCAAGACAAUGAUGCAUAGCCGAGUUGAGAGACUGAUCGGCCACAUUGGGACUGAGACACGGCCCAAACUCCUACGGGAGGCUGCAGUAGGGAAUCUUCCACAAUGGGCGAAAGCCUGAUGGAGCAACGCCGCGUGUGUGAUGAAGGCUUUCGGGUCGUAAAGCACUGUUGUAUGGGAAGAACAGCUAGAAUAGGGAAUGAUUUUAGUUUGACGGUACCAUACCAGAAAGGGACGGCUAAAUACGUGCCAGCAGCCGCGGUAAUACGUAUGUCCCGAGCGUUAUCCGGAUUUAUUGGGCGUAAAGCGAGCGCAGACGGUUGAUUAAGUCUGAUGUGAAAGCCCGGAGCUCAACUCCGGAAUGGCAUUGGAAACUGGUUAACUUGAGUGCAGUAGAGGUAAGUGGAACUCCAUGUGUAGCGGUGGAAUGCGUAGAUAUAUGGAAGAACACCAGUGGCGAAGGCGGCUUACUGGACUGUAACUGACGUUGAGGCUCGAAAGUGUGGGUAGCAAACAGGAUUAGAUACCCUGGUAGUCCACACCGUAAACGAUGAACACUAGGUGUUAGGAGGUUUCCGCCUCUUAGUGCCGAAGCUAACGCAUUAAGUGUUCCGCCUGGGGAGUACGACCGCAAGGUUGAAACUCAAAGGAAUUGACGGGGACCCGCACAAGCGGUGGAGCAUGUGGUUUAAUUCGAAGCAACGCGAAGAACCUUACCAGGUCUUGACAUCCUUUGAAGCUUUUAGAGAUAGAAGUGUUCUCUUCGGAGACAAAGUGACAGGUGGUGCAUGGUCGUCGUCAGCUCGUGUCGUGAGAUGUUGGGUUAAGUCCCGCACGAGCGCAACCCUUAUUGUAGUUGCCAGCAUUCAGAUGGGCACUCUAGCGAGACUGCCGGUGACAAACCGGAGGAAGGCGGGGACGA
This 1166-nucleotide ribosomal RNA is filed under the name Leuconostoc pseudomesenteroides. RNAcentral's name for it is "bacterial SSU rRNA". It matches the Rfam family "Bacterial small subunit ribosomal RNA", at positions 35 to 1182 of the family's 1533-position model. Lineage: Bacteria; Bacillati; Bacillota; Bacilli; Lactobacillales; Lactobacillaceae. The record is from RNAcentral.